RNAcentral lists this ribosomal RNA (773 nucleotides) under uncultured Neocallimastigales. RNAcentral's name for it is "partial large subunit ribosomal RNA". It matches the Rfam family "Eukaryotic large subunit ribosomal RNA", at positions 24 to 644 of the family's 3401-position model. The record is from RNAcentral. Lineage: Eukaryota; Fungi; Neocallimastigomycota; Neocallimastigomycetes; Neocallimastigales.
UACGACUACAUAUCAGGCAUAUCAAUAAGCGGAGGAAAAGAAACUAACUAGGAUUCCCUCAGUAACGGCGAGUGAAGCGGGAAGAGCUCAAAUUUGAAAUCUUCAAGGUUUUACCUUGACGAAUUGUAGUUUAAAGAAGUGUUUUCUGUUGGUGUUUUGGUAAAAGUUCUUUGGAAUAGGACAUCAUAGAGGGUGAGAAUCCCGUAUUUGACCAUUACUUCCAGCGUUGUGAUACACUUUCAAAGAGUCGGAUUGUUUGGGAAUGCAGUCCAAAAUGGGUGGUAAAUUUCAUCUAAAGCUAAAUAUUGGCGAGAGACCGAUAGCGAACAAGUACCGUGAGGGAAAGAUGAAAAGAACUUUGAAAAGAGAGUUAAACAGUACGUGAAAUUGUCAAAAGGGAAGCGUUUGACACCAGUGUUGUUUUCUCGAAAAUCAAUUAAAAAGAAGUUGGAUUUUGUAUUGUUAAGACCUUAUCAGCUUACUGUACUUUUUUCCUGCUCUUUUAAUGCACUUUUCGUUUAACAAGUCAACAUCAAUUUCUUUUGUUGUAAAAGAGUCAUUGGAAGGUGGCUUUCACUUCGGUGAAAGUGUUUAUAGCCUUUGGCUUCUACAAUCGGAGAGAUUGAGGUCUGCAGCGUAGAUCCUUCGGGGUUAGAUACGUAGAUGCUAAGUUAUAGUUUUUUAUAGACAACUUGUUGACUAUGAUUAAUCAUGUAGCUUACUCGUUUACGCUAUUUUACCUACGCUUAGGAUGUUGAUCUCUCACAGUCGAG